This 72-nucleotide transfer RNA is filed under the name Candidatus Tagabacteria bacterium RIFCSPLOWO2_01_FULL_39_11. RNAcentral describes it as "tRNA-Phe". It matches the Rfam family "tRNA". From Rfam's summary of the family: Transfer RNA (tRNA) molecules are approximately 80 nucleotides in length. Their secondary structure includes four short double-helical elements and three loops (D, anti-codon, and T loops). Lineage: Bacteria; Candidatus Tagaibacteriota. The record is from RNAcentral.
GCUUAGGUAGCUCAGUGGUAGAGCACUUCUCUGAAAAAGAAGGGGUCGGCAGUUCGAUCCUGCCCCUAAGCA